This is a long non-coding RNA of Rhododendron vialii, 464 nucleotides long. RefSeq lists it as uncharacterized. The transcript has 2 exons. Lineage: Eukaryota; Viridiplantae; Streptophyta; Magnoliopsida; Ericales; Ericaceae. The record is from RefSeq and is a predicted model, not a curated record.
AAGACAAAAUUUAUGUAGUUCAUCAUGUGCCUGCAUCCACAGGGAGGCAGGAAGAACAAUCCAUUGUUGCGCAUGAGAAUUACAACGCUCCACUCUCGCCCCUUCAUUGACUCAGAGCCCUUUGUCUCCAUAAGAAGCCCUCUUCAGUAAUUUGAGAUUUCCAGUAAAUAUAACACACAUUACAACAUCAACUGAAUUAACAUUGAUAACAGAACAUGGAGACAAGAUGCAGUAUGGGAAAAAAGAACAAAAGCAGGCAACUUUAAGCGUCACUGACUUCCAGAAGAACAAUUUUUCAACCUAAAAUUUAGCUCAAAUACAUACUUCUUCGAAAGUAGGAUGCCAAUUCUCUCUCUCCAUUGUUUUGUUGCUUUUAUCACUUUUUUCCAGUAAACCAAAAUGUUGUAACUCAAGAAUGAAAAUGUAAGAUAGUUACAAUGUUAUCUAAUGAUCAAGAACAAUAG